UUAUUUUGUUGGAUAAUGGCAUCAUCAAUGAGUAUUUUGAGUCAAAUUUCCAUUGUUAUUGUUGUUGAUGAUGGUUGUAUUCAUUUUGGAUUCCCUGAUUUUUAGGCUUUUUAAAAGAAAUAAGAUUCAGGCUCAAAAAGUUAAAUUCAUUGAAUUCAAAACAAAAUUUUGUCCUUGAAAUGAAAAGAAGAUUUCAUUUCUCAACAGAAAACAAUUUGAAUGCAGCAAAACAAUGAUUCGUUCGAAAUGUCCAGAUGUUCGAAAUUAAACAUUCGAUUUUGUUUUGUUUUUAUGAUCAUCAUCAUCAACGACCAUAAAGUGAAUUGAAUAUCUUCUUUUUUUUCAAAAAAUUCCAACCACCAUUAUUGCCUCCAUUAAACAUUUGUCUUCACAAAAAUCCAAAUCUUAUUUCCUUCCUUUCUUUUGCAUAUUAUGAUGACAAUAACCUUAUCGU
Dermatophagoides pteronyssinus (European house dust mite) is the source of this 454-nucleotide long non-coding RNA. Lineage: Eukaryota; Metazoa; Arthropoda; Arachnida; Sarcoptiformes; Pyroglyphidae. The record is from RefSeq and is a predicted model, not a curated record.